UGAGCAAUCUGCCCUUCUCUUUGGAAUAAGCGUGGGAAACCGCGUCUAAUGCCGAAUACGACCUCCUUUCGCAUGAUCGGAGGUGGAAAGCUCCGGCGGAGAAGGAUGAGCUCGCGGCCUAUCAGCUAGUUGGUGUGGGUAAUGGCCCACCAAGGCGACGACGGGUAGCCGGCCUGAGAGGGUGACCGGCCACACUGGGACUGAGACACGGCCCAGACUCCUACGGGAGG
RNAcentral lists this ribosomal RNA (230 nucleotides) under uncultured bacterium. RNAcentral's name for it is "partial 16S ribosomal RNA". It matches the Rfam family "Bacterial small subunit ribosomal RNA", at positions 118 to 348 of the family's 1533-position model. The record is from RNAcentral.